UACUGCCAGGACUUGGAACCGGGAGAGGUAAGAGGUACUACAGGGGUAGGAGUGAAAUCUUGUAAUCCCUGUGGGACCACCUGUGGCGAAGGCGUCUUACCGAGAACGGGUUCGACGGUGAGGGACGAAAGCUGGGGGCACGAACCGGAUUAGAUACCCGGGUAGUCCCAGCCGUAAACGAUGGCUCGCUAGGUGUCCAGGCAUGGCGCGACCGUGUCUGGUGCCGCAGGGAAGCCGUGAAGCGAGCCACCUGGGAAGUACGGCCGCAAGGCUGAAACUUAAAGGAAUUGGCGGGAGAGCACAACAACGGGUGGAAGCCUGCGGUUUAAUUGGACUCAACGCCGGACAACUCACCGGGGGCGACAGCAAUAUGUAGGCCAAGCUGAAGACUUUGCCUGAAUCGCUGAGUAGAGGUGCAUGG
This 421-nucleotide ribosomal RNA is filed under the name uncultured archaeon. RNAcentral describes it as "bacterial SSU rRNA". It matches the Rfam family "Archaeal small subunit ribosomal RNA", at positions 582 to 997 of the family's 1478-position model. The record is from RNAcentral.